Long non-coding RNA from Lathyrus oleraceus (garden pea), 2508 nucleotides. RefSeq lists it as uncharacterized. NCBI's taxonomy places the organism in Eukaryota, Viridiplantae, Streptophyta, Magnoliopsida, Fabales, Fabaceae. The record is from RefSeq and is a predicted model, not a curated record. The transcript is spliced from 5 exons.
ACUUAGAAAAAGGGAUUCGAUCCAAUCUCUCCGAGAAGCGAUCCAAGAACAGCUUCGAGCUUCCCAACAAACGCCAUGAAUGAAAUGAGAUGCGCCUCGCCGGAACGCGAUCCCGCACCACCACAUCGUCGAAAUCGUUCAUCAAAAACGGAGUCUCGCUGUAAUCUAGUUCGCGUACCUUAUCUUUGGAUCUCAUACGAACACAAGAGCAAGAACGAAGCCAUGAUCUCGUUGCCGGAAUCGAAACGAAGGGAGAAAUUUACCGGAUGAACAAAUUUACGAAGGCACACUCACCAAAUCAACAGAGCUCAAAAAGAUGAAGCAGAAUGAAGAACGGAUUUGGGGAUCGGAACCUCGAAGAAUGGAGUUUUCAAGAGUAAAACUGAGGAGUCAAACUUUAGAGUUUCAGAAGAUUGAAGUUGAAUCAUGAAUUCCCCAUUCCGAAGAUUGAAAGAAGGAAUUCUCAAGAGUGACCGAAUGAAGAAGAUUAGAAAGAAGGUUGACGCAGAAGAUUGGGGAAGAACAAAGCCGGAAGGGAUUGAAGAAUUCCAACAAAAAUGAAAGAUCACGGAAUCAUUAACAUUUCGGAGGAACUGUAGUUUGAAAAUUCGAGCCCUAAUUCCACUCCCUUCAAGUCAACAGAAUGGACUCAAGGCCAAGGACUUCAACCGAUAUCAAGAACAACAUGGAAAUGAGGCUAGAAAUUGGCACAAGUAAUGGAAUGAAAUCAUGACGCCUUGAACAUGAGUUACCAUAAACUGAAGCAACUUACCAGAAUGAAGCGACGCCGAGGCUCCGGUGUCGUCGAUGCCGUUCACAGGGUGUUCGGUUUCGCAUAGCUGUCGCUUGGGACGCUUCCUGCUUGCCAUUCUCAUUUCCUGUUUUUCUGUGGUAUAGAAGUUCUUGUAUGACAAUGUCUCUUCAACAUUAUCAAUCCCACACUUGUCAUUGGCGGAAGCUGUUUUCUUUGUAGCAGAUAGAGAGUAUCGGCCUUCACUUGGAGCAAUACUUCUGAGUAUAAGCCUUUUGACAACACCUUUGUAAGUAGUUAUAAAGCAUAACCACCUGUAUCAAAAGUCCUCUCCUUCAAUAGUUCAGCAUCACUUUGCCAUUUCCCGAGCUUUCUAUAAACCUUCAGCAACUUCAACCGUCACUCUCUGACCCAAACGAACAACCUUACUCGAUUCCACGCACUUGUUAUAGCACCGCUGCGCAUUUUCUACUGUCAUGAGCUUGUUUGGUAUCAUAAUAAGGUUAGGUUAACUUGGAGUUGCAAGGUUUAAUUUGGCAUGUGGAUUGCUGAACUUUGUAGUGAAUUUCUUCGAUCAUGCUUUGGUCCACAUUGCAAUGCAGGAACGGGUGUUGAAUGAUUUUCCAACUGGUUUGUUGCAGCAGGAUGUUUGUUUGGCUCAGUACCGAAUUUGAGGCAGUUUGCGUGACAUUUGCAGGUAGACUAUCUUGAGUGCAGGUCCAUUGGCAUAUUACAGAAUGGUGGCGCAUCCUGCAGAAAUGGCAUGCCCUUCAUGUCACCUGGUUUGGCCUGUGCAUAAAUGCAAGCUGCUUGUUUUAUUUGCUCACUUUUCUUGUACAUGAAUGGUUCUGCAGGUAUGUCAGGUGGUCCGUUCCAAUGCUUAUUUUGAUUCUUUUGCUGUGAAAUGAUUUGUCUUGCCAUGAGAUUGUGCUCACUGGUGGAUCUGGUUAAAAUGGUAAGUGCAGUGAAAAUGUUUUGUUGAUGUGCUUACUGCUUUGCUUCUUGGCGGAUGACCGUAAUUCUCGCUGAACUUACGACAGGUUUUGUUCCCACAAGCAUCAUUAGUCAUAGAGUUAUGGUGUAUGGUUCCUUAUAACCUGCAGAUGCAGGUUUUGCUGCGAGUUGGCGGUUAUCAAUUGUUCGACGACCAUGUCGCUCGGCCAAGGUAGGUAACAGGCUUUGUUGGAAUUCGCCUGGAAGCUGCGAGCAGCGGGAUGGUUAGUGCAGGGUAUUCCAGCUUUGUUGAAGCAAAGAGUUUGAUUCAGGAUCAUAGGACUUCUUUGUUGCGGGAAUACCCGCCGUUACAUGAUAGCUAUUGAAGAGCUUGUAACAGGUAGUGCACCGGAAGUAAGCAAAGCGGAUUCUGCCAUGGCAAUGUGAGGGUCAUGAGAAGAACUGACGGCAGCUUCUGAUUCAAUUGGAUGAGGUUGUUUUGGCUAUGAUGCAUAUAUCCAUAUUGCAUGCUAUGAUACAUUUGAUAUGGCAUUAGCUUGUAGUUGGUACGGAGAUAAAGCUAUGUGCUUGAAUUUUGUACAUGCCAACUUUGAGUAGCCACAAAUCGGUAGGAGGAACAGUGACUUGAAGUUGGUCUUGCCCAUGAUUACACUGCUGAACUUGCGAUGCAUUUGCUAUGGAAGAUGAGCCUAAUGUGGGAUAAGUUACAAUUGGUUGUCUAAAUAAACUUUACCGAAGUAUGACAAAUCUUGACAAUGAGCGCAUGAAAAACUAAGAUAAAUAAAGACAUGCUAUUGAAUCCA